This 2899-nucleotide ribosomal RNA is filed under the name Klebsiella pneumoniae. RNAcentral describes it as "23S ribosomal RNA". It matches the Rfam family "Bacterial large subunit ribosomal RNA". The record is from RNAcentral. Lineage: Bacteria; Pseudomonadati; Pseudomonadota; Gammaproteobacteria; Enterobacterales; Enterobacteriaceae.
GGUUAAGCGACUAAGCGUACACGGUGGAUGCCCUGGCAGUCAGAGGCGAUGAAGGACGUGCUAAUCUGCGAAAAGCGUCGGUAAGGUGAUAUGAACCGUUAUAACCGGCGAUGUCCGAAUGGGGAAACCCAGUGCAAUUCGUUGCACUAUCGUUAACUGAAUACAUAGGUUAACGAGGCGAACCGGGGGAACUGAAACAUCUAAGUACCCCGAGGAAAAGAAAUCAACCGAGAUUCCCCCAGUAGCGGCGAGCGAACGGGGAGCAGCCCAGAGUCUGAAUCAGCUUGUGUGUUAGUGGAACGGUCUGGAAAGUCCGACGGUACAGGGUGAUAGUCCCGUACACCAAAAUGCACAGGUUGUGAACUCGAAGAGUAGGGCGGGACACGUGGUAUCCUGUCUGAAUAUGGGGGGACCAUCCUCCAAGGCUAAAUACUCCUGACUGACCGAUAGUGAACCAGUACCGUGAGGGAAAGGCGAAAAGAACCCCGGCGAGGGGAGUGAAAAAGAACCUGAAACCGUGUACGUACAAGCAGUGGGAGCACCUUCGGGUGUGACUGCGUACCUUUUGUAUAAUGGGUCAGCGACUUAUAUUCUGUAGCAAGGUUAACCGUAUAGGGGAGCCGCAGGGAAACCGAGUCUUAACUGGGCGUUAAGUUGCAGGGUAUAGACCCGAAACCCGGUGAUCUAGCCAUGGGCAGGUUGAAGGUUGGGUAACACUAACUGGAGGACCGAACCGACUAAUGUUGAAAAAUUAGCGGAUGACUUGUGGCUGGGGGUGAAAGGCCAAUCAAACCGGGAGAUAGCUGGUUCUCCCCGAAAGCUAUUUAGGUAGCGCCUCGUGAAUUCAUCUUCGGGGGUAGAGCACUGUUUCGGCUAGGGGUCAUCCCGACUUACCAACCCGAUGCAAACUACGAAUACCGAAGAAUGUUAUCACGGGAGACACACGGCGGGUGCUAACGUCCGUCGUGAAGAGGGAAACAACCCAGACCGCCAGCUAAGGUCCCAAAGUCAUGGUUAAGUGGGAAACGAUGUGGGAAGGCACAGACAGCCAGGAUGUUGGCUUAGAAGCAGCCAUCAUUUAAAGAAAGCGUAAUAGCUCACUGGUCGAGUCGGCCUGCGCGGAAGAUGUAACGGGGCUAAACCAUGCACCGAAGCUGCGGCAGCGACACUAUGUGUUGUUGGGUAGGGGAGCGUUCUGUAAGCCUGCGAAGGUGUGCUGUGAGGCAUGCUGGAGGUAUCAGAAGUGCGAAUGCUGACAUAAGUAACGAUAAAGCGGGUGAAAAGCCCGCUCGCCGGAAGACCAAGGGUUCCUGUCCAACGUUAAUCGGGGCAGGGUGAGUCGACCCCUAAGGCGAGGCCGAAAGGCGUAGUCGAUGGGAAACAGGUUAAUAUUCCUGUACUUGGUGUUACUGCGAAGGGGGACGGAGAAGGCUAUGUUAGCCGGGCGACGGUUGUCCCGGUUUAAGCAUGUAGGCUGGUUAUCCAGGCAAAUCCGGAUAAUCAAGGCUGAGGUGUGAUGACGAGGCACUACGGUGCUGAAGUAACAAAUGCCCUGCUUCCAGGAAAAGCCUCUAAGCAUCAGGUAACAUUAAAUCGUACCCCAAACCGACACAGGUGGUCAGGUAGAGAAUACCAAGGCGCUUGAGAGAACUCGGGUGAAGGAACUAGGCAAAAUGGUGCCGUAACUUCGGGAGAAGGCACGCUGGUGUGUAGGUGAAGUCCCUGCGGAUGGAGCUGAGACCAGUCGAAGAUACCAGCUGGCUGCAACUGUUUAUUAAAAACACAGCACUGUGCAAACACGAAAGUGGACGUAUACGGUGUGACGCCUGCCCGGUGCCGGAAGGUUAAUUGAUGGGGUUAUCCGUAAGGAGAAGCUCUUGAUCGAAGCCCCGGUAAACGGCGGCCGUAACUAUAACGGUCCUAAGGUAGCGAAAUUCCUUGUCGGGUAAGUUCCGACCUGCACGAAUGGCGUAAUGAUGGCCAGGCUGUCUCCACCCGAGACUCAGUGAAAUUGAACUCGCUGUGAAGAUGCAGUGUACCCGCGGCAAGACGGAAAGACCCCGUGAACCUUUACUAUAGCUUGACACUGAACAUUGAGCCUUGAUGUGUAGGAUAGGUGGGAGGCUUUGAAGCGUGGACGCCAGUCUGCGUGGAGCCAACCUUGAAAUACCACCCUUUAAUGUUUGAUGUUCUAACGUUGGCCCCUUACCGGGGUUGCGGACAGUGUCUGGUGGGUAGUUUGACUGGGGCGGUCUCCUCCCAAAGCGUAACGGAGGAGCACGAAGGUUAGCUAAUCCUGGUCGGACAUCAGGAGGUUAGUGCAAUGGCAUAAGCUAGCUUGACUGCGAGCGUGACGGCGCGAGCAGGUGCGAAAGCAGGUCAUAGUGAUCCGGUGGUUCUGAAUGGAAGGGCCAUCGCUCAACGGAUAAAAGGUACUCCGGGGAUAACAGGCUGAUACCGCCCAAGAGUUCAUAUCGACGGCGGUGUUUGGCACCUCGAUGUCGGCUCAUCACAUCCUGGGGCUGAAGUAGGUCCCAAGGGUAUGGCUGUUCGCCAUUUAAAGUGGUACGCGAGCUGGGUUUAGAACGUCGUGAGACAGUUCGGUCCCUAUCUGCCGUGGGCGCUGGAGAAUUGAGGGGGCUGCUCCUAGUACGAGAGGACCGGAGUGGACGCAUCACUGGUGUUCGGGUUGUCAUGCCAAUGGCACUGCCCGGUAGCUAAAUGCGGAAGAGAUAAGUGCUGAAAGCAUCUAAGCACGAAACUUGCCCCGAGAUGAGUUCUCCCUGAGACUUUAAGUCUCCUGAAGGAACGUUGAAGACGACGACGUUGAUAGGCCGGGUGUGUAAGCGCAGCGAUGCGUUGAGCUAACCGGUACUAAUGAACCGUGAGGCUUAACCUU